CCCCUCCUUCUCCUCCCCCGCCGGGCUGCGGUCCCGCCGGCGCGGACGGCUCCUCCCCGGCGGCCGGGCGGGAGGGAGCGGGCG
This 84-nucleotide microRNA precursor is filed under the name Gallus gallus (chicken). RNAcentral describes it as "microRNA gga-mir-12241 precursor". Lineage: Eukaryota; Metazoa; Chordata; Aves; Galliformes; Phasianidae. The record is from miRBase by way of RNAcentral.